This 372-nucleotide ribosomal RNA is filed under the name uncultured organism. RNAcentral's name for it is "partial 16S ribosomal RNA". It matches the Rfam family "Bacterial small subunit ribosomal RNA", at positions 527 to 896 of the family's 1533-position model. The record is from RNAcentral.
GUAGGUGGCAAGCGUUGUCCGGAAUUAUUGGGCGUAAAGCGCGCGCAGGCGGUUCUUUAAGUCUGAUGUGAAAGCCCACGGCUCAACCGUGGAGGGUCAUUGGAAACUGGAGAACUUGAGUACAGAAGAGGAAAGCGGAAUUCCACGUGUAGCGGUGAAAUGCGUAGAGAUGUGGAGGAACACCAGUGGCGAAGGCGGCUUUCUGGUCUGUAACUGACGCUGAGGCGCGAAAGCGUGGGGAGCAAACAGGGAUUAGAUACCCUGGUAGUCCACGCCGUAAACGAUGAGUGCUAAGUGUUAGGGGGUUUCGCCCCCUUAGUGCUGCAGCUAACGCAUUAAGCACUCCGCCUGGGGAGUACGGCCGCAAGGCUG